This 221-nucleotide unclassified non-coding RNA is filed under the name Hevea brasiliensis (rubber tree). The record is from RNAcentral. Lineage: Eukaryota; Viridiplantae; Streptophyta; Magnoliopsida; Malpighiales; Euphorbiaceae.
GUGGAAUUUGAUAGUUGGACGUGGCUGUGACAUUCUGUUGCUGCAAUUGCUGCUGCAGCUGCACAACAGGUUGCUGUUGUUGUUGAGAGGAAAGAGAAGGCGAUGUGGAGAUGCAAUUUUUGGAUCUUGAGGUAAAUUCGACAUGCUGGAUGUUGGUGUUUGUGCUUGUGGUUGUGGUGGUGUUAGAGCUACGGUGUUGGAGUUCGAAUUUGUUAACGCCG